Molecule: ribosomal RNA, 952 nt
Filed under: uncultured bacterium
Lineage: Bacteria
Description: bacterial SSU rRNA
Rfam family: Bacterial small subunit ribosomal RNA
Source: RNAcentral
AGAGUUUGAUCAUGGCUCAGAUUGAACGCUGGCGGCAUGGCUAAAACAUGCAAGUCGAACGUGCCCGCAAGGGCAAGUGGCGAAAGGGUUAGUAAUACGAUCGAAUGUGCCCUGAGGUGGGGGAUAGCCGUGGGAAACUGCGGGUAAUACUCCAUGAUCUCCUCGGAGCAAAGAUUUGUCGCCUUGGGAGCAGCGAUCGUCCUAUCAGGUAGUUGGCGGGGUAACGGCCCACCAAGCCGAAGACGGGUAGCGGGUGUGAGAGCACGGCCCGCAACAUCGGAACUGAGACACUGUCCGGACUCCUACGGGAGGCUGCAGUAACGAAUCUUCCGCAAUGGGCGCAAGCCUGACGGAGCAAUGCCGCGUGUGGGAUGAAGCAUCUCUGGUGUGUAAACCACUGUCAGGGGGCGGAAACAAUGAUUGCCCCCAAAGGAAGUGGCGACUAACUCUGUGCCAGCAGUCGCGGUAAUACAGAGGCCACGAGCGUUAGUCGGAAUCACUGGGCUUAAAGGGUGCGUAGGCGGGCUUGUAAGCGUUUUGUGAAAGCCCCCGGCUCAACCGGGGAACAGCAGAGCGAACUGCGAGUCUUGAGGCAAGUAGGGGCGGGAAGAACAGUCGGUGGAGCGGUGAAAUGCUUAGAUAUCGACUGGAAUGCCGAUGGUGAAGACGUCCCGCUGGGCUUGUCCUGACGCUGAGGCACGAAAGCGUGGGGAGCAAACAGGAUUAGAUACCCUGGUAGUCCACGCCGUAAACGAUGUAUGCUGGACCGGUGCGAUUUUGACGUCGUAUCGGUCGUAGGAAAACCGUUAAGCAUACCGCCUGGGGAGUACGGUCGCAAGGCUAAAACUCAAAUGAAUUGACGGGGGCUCACACAAGCGGUGGAGCAUGUUGCUUAAUUCGAGGCAACGCGAAGAACCUUACCUGGGCUUGACAUGCUGGUAUUAACCCUAUG